This 253-nucleotide ribosomal RNA is filed under the name uncultured bacterium. RNAcentral describes it as "partial 16S ribosomal RNA". It matches the Rfam family "Bacterial small subunit ribosomal RNA", at positions 524 to 776 of the family's 1533-position model. The record is from RNAcentral.
UACGUAGGGGGCAAGCGUUGUCCGGAUUUAUUGGGCGUAAAGAGCGUGUAGGCGGCCAGGUAGGUCAGCUGUGAAAACUCGAGGCUCAACCUCGAGACGCCGGUUGAAACCAUCUGGCUAGAGUCCGGAAGAGGAGAGUGGAAUUCCUGGUGUAGCGGUGAAAUGCGCAGAUAUCAGGAAGAACACCCGUGGCUAAGGCGGCUCUCUAGUACGGUACUGACGCUGAGACGCGAAAGCGUGGGGAGCAAACAGG